AUAAAUGGAAAGCCAGGAAGAAACGUUUUUUCGCUUGUGAGUUGGAUUUUUUUUUUUUUUUUUUUUAUUC
Molecule: non-coding RNA, 70 nt
Filed under: Palpitomonas bilix
Lineage: Eukaryota
Source: RNAcentral